RNAcentral lists this ribosomal RNA (230 nucleotides) under Heterosigma akashiwo. Its description in RNAcentral is "partial Bacterial large subunit ribosomal RNA". It matches the Rfam family "Bacterial large subunit ribosomal RNA", at positions 1081 to 1311 of the family's 2925-position model. Lineage: Eukaryota; Raphidophyceae; Chattonellales; Chattonellaceae. The record is from RNAcentral.
AGGCUAAAAGAGUCAGGAUGUUGGCUUAGAAGCAGCCAUCAUUUAAAGAAAGCGUAAUAGCUCACUGAUCGAGUCGUCCUGCGCGGAAGAUGUAACGGGGCUAAGCCAGUUACCGAAGCUGCGGAUUUGCAAUUUAUUGCAAGUGGUAGGAGAGCGUUCUGUAAGCCUGUGAAGGUGAGUUGAGAAGCUUGCUGGAGGUAUCAGAAGUGCGAACGCUGACAUGAGUAGCG